UGCAGAAUCCCGCGAACCAUCAAUUCUUUGAACGCAAGUUGCGCCCGAAGCCAAUCGGCCGAGGGCACGCCUGCCUGGGUGUCGUGA
RNAcentral lists this ribosomal RNA (87 nucleotides) under Medinilla cummingii. Its description in RNAcentral is "partial 5.8S ribosomal RNA". It matches the Rfam family "5.8S ribosomal RNA", at positions 73 to 154 of the family's 154-position model. From Rfam's summary of the family: 5.8S ribosomal RNA (5.8S rRNA) is a component of the large subunit of the eukaryotic ribosome. It is transcribed by RNA polymerase I as part of the 45S precursor that also contains 18S and 28S rRNA. The record is from RNAcentral. Lineage: Eukaryota; Viridiplantae; Streptophyta; Magnoliopsida; Myrtales; Melastomataceae.